RNAcentral lists this long non-coding RNA (236 nucleotides) under Elaeis guineensis (African oil palm). RNAcentral's name for it is "long non-coding RNA (EGUI_LNC000375)". Lineage: Eukaryota; Viridiplantae; Streptophyta; Magnoliopsida; Arecales; Arecaceae. The record is from RNAcentral.
CCCUUUUUCAAUAGAUUGUUCAAAUGGCUUGGGGCAAUGGAGCAUCAAAGUAUCAAAAUAGCAUUCACACCACUGCAACUCAUCUAGCCUACCAUUAGCCGGUCAAAGCACUAAACUCCCUAUGGCUGUGGUAUUUUAUUUUACAAAUACAUUCUUUAGCCCAUUUUGAGGUAGAGAAACAAGAAAAUAUUUUUUUAUGAAUUAUAUAAAAAAUAUAAAGUAUAAAUUGGUUCGAG